This 371-nucleotide ribosomal RNA is filed under the name uncultured bacterium. RNAcentral's name for it is "bacterial SSU rRNA". It matches the Rfam family "Bacterial small subunit ribosomal RNA", at positions 527 to 896 of the family's 1533-position model. The record is from RNAcentral.
AGAGGGUGCAAGCGUUGCUCGGAUUUACUGGGCGUAAAGCGUACGCAGACGGUGAGAAAGGUCGGAUGUGAAAGCCCCGGGCUCAACCCGGGAACUGCAUCCGAAACCAUCUCGCUAGAGUAUGGGAGAGGGAAGCGGAAUUCCUGGUGUAGAGGUGAAAUUCGUAGAUAUCAGGAGGAACAUCUGCGGCGAAGGCGGCUUCCUGGCCCAUUACUGACGUUCAGGUACGAAAGCGUGGGUAGCAAACAGGAUUAGAUACCCUGGUAGUCCACGCCGUAAACGAUGUGUGCUGGAUGUCGGGGGUAUUCACCCCCUCGGUAUCGAAGCUAACGCGAUAAGCACACCGCCUGGGGAGUACGGCCGCAAGGUUG